Long non-coding RNA from Oryzias latipes (Japanese medaka), 2439 nucleotides. RefSeq lists it as uncharacterized. NCBI's taxonomy places the organism in Eukaryota, Metazoa, Chordata, Actinopteri, Beloniformes, Adrianichthyidae. The record is from RefSeq and is a predicted model, not a curated record.
UUUCAUUUACUUGGGUUUGGUUUAUUUUGAUUAUACUUGAGGUAAAGAUUGAUUGACAGUUUUUUUUUUACACUCUGCACAGUACUACUUUACAUGCUUAUUUCCUCUGUAACCUUAUGCGGUCGUUGCUGUAUAAACCAUCUAGUAGGCUAUAUUGUCAUAUUUUAUUGAGAUUUCUUUAUUUAUACUUACUGUUUUUAUACUUUGUUGGACAGUCGUGCAAUACAUUUCAAAACUUCUUGGUCUAUGUAUUGGUGUACUUUGUGUGUAUGUGCCAAAAGAAAUUGAUAACAAACCAAUGUUGAGUAGUACCACUAGGAGAAAGAAGAAACGUGUACCAUCUUUUUGAAACUGACCCAGAUAAACAGCGCAGAGCCUAAAGCUCUAAACAUGGAAAACGGUAAAGAAAAAUAAAUGCAACCAGAUGUUUAAAGCUUCAUCAACGGACUUGACAACCACAUGUCUGCUUACACAAAUAGUAUUCUGCUCUGAGGUCCAUGUCCAGUUUGAUAAAAGGAAGGCUUCCAGCUCUCAGGAGACCCAAGGGGAGGUUUGUUUUGAUGCCGCUCGAACUCUGCUUCAAACAUUUCUCCCGUUUUAAUCAAACAUGUGCGGUCACUGUACGCAUGUUCAGUAGUUAAACCUCCUUCAAUGAUAGACAGGUUUUUCUUAACUGCACAGCAAGAGCCCAGAUAACAAGAGCGCAUCACGCGCUGCAUGAAAUACUAACCGACUUCAAGGAAGCUUCAGCGCACUUAGAGUCCAUGAUUGACACCAAAAGGUGAAUGAUGUAUUUAUGUUUGUCCUUUGCCAUAACCAUGACCACUGGCAGCUGCUCUUCACUUAGAAAACUCAGACUUUCUGUCUUUGUCUAUUGUACAGUCUGGUGUAUGUCUCAUCUCUAAAGCAGUCAAGCUCAACUUUUAUCUGCAAGUUGGAAAACAUUUUAAUCAAGUUAACUAACACAUGGAGUGGGAACAUUUUGAAUGAUUAAUUUUCUAUUAAUUAUUUUCUAUUAGAAUUCAGGCUUCCAGUAAUCUGGUAACCUCUAAUUUGUUUGGCUGUUUACAGAAAAAGAAAACAGAUAAUCAUAAGUCCUUCAAGCUUAAAUGGAGAUGACAGACUUUUGGUUUUUACCGAAAACAAUCACAAAAUACAAGAAAAAGAAAAGAACAAAUACACUCUAAAAACUCCGCAGUUAAAAAUAAGUUAAGCUGGGUUGUUCAUUUUUUUUUCUAAACAUUUUUUCUGGGUUACUUUAACUCAGAAAAAAAAACAAAAUAGAGUUAGGAUGAAAGCACUAUAAACCAAAAAGAAUAGUUUUGCUCCAAAAGUGUGUGUUUACUGUGGAGAUGCUUGAUGUCAUGUUUUCACAAACAGAACUGAAGCUAAUUUACUACGUUUCCAGCAAGAAUGUGGCUGUUUAAACCGCUAUGGAAUCUAUCAACAACACUUUCAGAGUUUUCAACAAUCUGGUCUUCUUGUAGUUGCUGCUUGAAAAGUCAGAUCGUUUGAAUCCUCAAGAAAAGUCUUAGUUGACCUGUUACAGGCAACCGUCUAUCAAGUGUUAUGUCUAUUUUAAUUGCUGCCUGAACGCAGAGCAUACAUUCUUUAUCUACCUAAACAAACACUUUCUUCAUCUUAAUGUGUGUUCUUUCUUUAUUGUAGGAAGUAUGUUGAAUAUUCCAUUUUAAUAGACAUUCAAAGUAAUGGAAAAUGUCCCCAUUUGACUGUUUCACUUAGAUUUUAUUCUGCUUUCUGUUAUUCUACUAUCAAGUUCUUAUUCGUCUUUACAACCAACAACAUUUCACUGUAGUGAGCUGUUUUACAUGAAGAGCUUUAUUCAGAUUUCUAAUAUAUGAAAAUCUGAAAGCAUUUUUUAGACAUAAACGUAAUAAAGUCAAGCUUUUGAGGAUUUUUGUAAGGCCUCAACCUUUAGUAGGAUGCUUAGAGAUCUAUUUACUAACUAAACUGGUUCAUUUCUAAAAAUAAAAAUAAAAAAAAUGUAAGCAGUAUCUUUAAAAGGGGUUUUGUGCCAAAUCAUGGCAUUUUCCUAAACUUUCAUCUAAUCUUAAUCUCAUUUUGUAUUGCUUAUCCACAAAGACAUGAGACAAACUGGUUUCCAACAAGCUGAGGAGUCCAGGGACCACAGAUCUUCUUGGUUACUUAUAGCUUGUGAGGGAGUGAAACAUCCUUCCUAGGAAUCCUUCAAAAUCAAAUUCCAAAGGAUCAACAGUCGAGGAGAAAGAAGAAAAAAAAGUCAGAAAAGUCCAAUGACAGCUGAGGGGUUCUACACCAAAGAGGUACAUCAACAGUCAAGUACAACAAAUGUAAAGAAUAAAGGCCAACAGAAAAAAACAUAGAAGCCAUUCGCUUCUAUGCUGUGACUGGUUUUGUGUUACUGCAAAGGUUUUUAGAGGCCAAGGAAACAGAAAAAAA